RNAcentral lists this transfer RNA (73 nucleotides) under Candidatus Cardinium hertigii. It matches the Rfam family "tRNA". From Rfam's summary of the family: Transfer RNA (tRNA) molecules are approximately 80 nucleotides in length. Their secondary structure includes four short double-helical elements and three loops (D, anti-codon, and T loops). Lineage: Bacteria; Pseudomonadati; Bacteroidota; Cytophagia; Cytophagales; Amoebophilaceae. RNAcentral also lists the same sequence under 1 other name. The record is from Rfam by way of RNAcentral.
GCCUCCUUAGCUCAACUGGUAGAGCAACUGAUUUGUAAUCAGUAGGUUGCUGGUUCGAUUCCGGCAGGAGGCA